CAAGUCGAACGCGAAAAGUCCCCUUCGGGGGACGAGUAGAGUGGCGUCCGGGUGAGUAACACGUAGGUAAUCUACCUUCGGGUGGGGAAUAACGCAGGGAAACUUGCGCUAAUACCGCAUAAUGCAGCGGCACCACAUGGUGACAGUUGUUAAAGCGGGGGAUUUUCGAACCUCGCGCCUGAAGAGGAGCCUGCGGCAGAUUAGCUAGUUGGUAGGGUAACGGCUUACCAAGGCGACGAUCUGUAGCCGGCCUGAGAGGGCGGUCGGCCACACUGACACUGACAUACGGGUCAGACUCCUACGGGAGGCAGCAGUCGGGAAUUUUGGGCAAUGGGCGAAAGCCUGACCCAGCAACGCCGCGUGAAGGAUGAAAUCCUUCGGGAUGUAAACUUCGCAAGAAUAGGAAGAAUGAGCGAGCGCUAACACCGUUCGUGAUGACGGUACUAUUUGUAAGCUCCGGCUAACUCCGUGCCAGCAGCCGCGGUAAUACGGGGGGAGCAAGCGUUGUUCGGAUUUACUGGGCGUAAAGGGCGCGUAGGCGGUCAGCACAAGUCAGUUGUGAAAUCUCCGGGCUUAACUCGGAAAGGUCAACUGAUACUGUGCGACUAGAGUGCAGAAGGGGCAACUGGAAUUCUCGGUGUAGCGGUGAAAUGCGUAGAUAUCGAGAGGAACACCUGCGGCGAAGGCGGGUUGCUGGGCUGACACUGACGCUGAUGCGCGAAAGCCAGGGGAGCGAACGGGAUUAGAUACCCCGGUAGUCCUGGCCUUAAACGAUGGAUGCUUGGUGUCUGGAGUUUUAUAGUCUCCGGGUGCCGUAGCUAACGCGUUAAGCAUCCCGCCUGGGGAGUACGGUCGCAAGACUGAAACUCAAAGGAAUUGACGGGGACC
RNAcentral lists this ribosomal RNA (888 nucleotides) under uncultured Bacillota bacterium. RNAcentral describes it as "bacterial SSU rRNA". It matches the Rfam family "Bacterial small subunit ribosomal RNA", at positions 58 to 921 of the family's 1533-position model. The record is from RNAcentral. Lineage: Bacteria; Bacillati; Bacillota.